GCUUCAGCAGGUCCCUCCAUUCAGGGUCCCUGACUUCCCACAACAGUCUAGCCCCACUUUCAUAGGGCAGCCAUGCUGUGCUGGGGUACCAUUUCUGCCUCUCAUCAGAUUGGGCUCUUCAAAGCCUGGAGGCUGAAACAGCUAAAUUGCUGAAACAGCUAAAUUGCUGAAACAGCAAAGAAGGUGGUCAACCUCUCUGGGAACUCUGUCCCAGAAAGUUUUCAAGUUCUCUGUUGGCCAGAGAACAUCAGUGGGAGUGGCUGGAGGCCCUGGUUGGGAAGACCCACCCAGAGAUGAGGAGCUUAUUAUGGUCUCAUCUAAAGAAGCAGUCUGAUCACAUCAUAGUAGAGCCACUGUGCUGUGCUGAGGGAUCUCUUCUGCCCCUGGAUGGUUUGGACUCUCCUAAGCCCACAGGCUGGAAUGGCUGAGUUAUCCAAACAGCAAAUAUGGUGGCCUACUCCUCCCACUGGGCACUGCAUCCAGGGAGAAAUCAAAAUUCUGUCUGCUGGAGAAUAUGGAAGGGGCUAGCUGGAGUCCCCAGUAGGAGGCCCCACCCUGAGAUGUAAAAUGUGUCAGGGUCCCACUUAAAGAAGCAGUCUGUCCACAUUUUGGUAGAACCACUGUGCUGUGCUUGGGGUUCCUUUUAUCUGCCAUCAGCUUUGUUUGGACUCUCCUAAACCUACAGACUGGAAUGGCUAAGUCAUCCAAACAACAGAUAUCGACCCUGCCUCUGCCUUCAGGAGCUCUGUCCCAUCCCAGCGGUGUUUAUGGAGGUCCAACUUCCUGCCUUGUCUGAGUUGCAGUCACCUUUGCUGGAGAUCCUGGAGCCAGAGUGUGUAAAGCUCCUGAGAUUCUCUUUGUGUCUGAGCAGUUGCUCUGCCAAGACCACACAGCUCUGUGUGUCAGAACAAAGGCCCUGGUGGAAUGGGUUCAUGAGAAGAUCUCCUGAGCUGAGGGUUGCAAAGAUCCAUGGAAGAAGUGUGGUUUCCCAGGGUCACAUAUUCAGUCACCACUUUCCUGAGCAAGGUAGGUUCCCUUGGCUCUGUGUCACUCCAGGGUGGGUGGUUGCCAUGCCCUGCUUUUCUCCAUUUUCGGUGGGUUGAGCUGUUUCCUUCAUUAGUCCCAGUGCAAAUACCUACGUGUUUCAGUUGAAGGUGUUGUAUUUACUAUCCCCCUUUGUUCCUUUCCAUGACAGCCACAUAUGGUAGCUGCUUCCAAUCAGCCAUCCUGGCACCCUUCUCUGCUACAAUAUUUCCAUAGAUGGUUUUUACCCUGUAGGUUGUCUCAUGACCCAAGAUGUCUACAGGAACACCAGCCUGUACCAGCAACCAUGUGCCUUUCAAAGAGCAGGAAGGAGGAAAGAUGCAAGGCCGAAGUGGCUCACACAGCUGAGUCAGCUCCAUCUGAGGAGUCUCCCUGAAGUCCCAUCAAUACUUCUGGUUACACCCAAUUGUCUUGAACAUCUUCUAGUCAUUGUUAGCUUCAAUAGGGGUCAGAAACUAUAAUUUUUGUGCUUGGUAAGUUGCUGUUUGAAUAAAACUGAAUCUCUGUUUUUAAGAAUGAAAGCAAAG
This 1571-nucleotide long non-coding RNA is filed under the name Homo sapiens (human). RNAcentral's name for it is "HSALNT0123734". The record is from RNAcentral. Lineage: Eukaryota; Metazoa; Chordata; Mammalia; Primates; Hominidae.